RNAcentral lists this long non-coding RNA (443 nucleotides) under Setaria viridis. RNAcentral's name for it is "long non-coding RNA (SVIR_LNC006876)". The record is from RNAcentral. Lineage: Eukaryota; Viridiplantae; Streptophyta; Magnoliopsida; Poales; Poaceae.
AAAUAAUCAUGAUUUGUUUAGUUUGAUACUCUAGAGCCGGACUGAACAUGAGUUACUAUAGAUGUUCACCCUCCUGGCCGGCUGAAAUAGGAUAUAGUCAAACUUCAAUUGAUGCAUUAAAACAUGUGGUAAAGGUUGAGAUCAUCCACAAACUGAAACAAUUUCAUCUAUUAAGUUCUACAAACCACAUAAAUAAUUUGACUUUGCACAAAAAUAAUUAUUGGAAAAGGUGUAAGAUAAAGGGAUUUGCUGGAGCAGUAAUUUUUCACCAACUCUCCCAAUAGGGUAGAACAGAUCCACAAUCCCCAAUCUAACUACAAUAUUAAAAGCCAAAGAGCAUGGGAUGCAAUCUAAUAAUUUCAUCAAUAAUAUUCUACAAACCACAUAAAUAAUUUGACUUCGCACAAAAAUAAUUAUUGGAAAAGGUGAAAGAUAAAUGAGAU